GGGUUGUGAGGUUAAGCGACUAAGCGUACACGGUGGAUGCCCUGGCAGUCAGAGGCGAUGAAGGACGUGCUAAUCUGCGAAAAGCGUCGGUAAGGUGAUAUGAACCGUUAUAACCGGCGAUGUCCGAAUGGGGAAACCCAGUGCAAUUCGUUGCACUAUCGUUAACUGAAUACAUAGGUUAACGAGGCGAACCGGGGGAACUGAAACAUCUAAGUACCCCGAGGAAAAGAAAUCAACCGAGAUUCCCCCAGUAGCGGCGAGCGAACGGGGAGCAGCCCAGAGUCUGAAUCAGCUUGUGUGUUAGUGGAACGGUCUGGAAAGUCCGACGGUACAGGGUGAUAGUCCCGUACACCAAAAUGCACAGGUUGUGAACUCGAAGAGUAGGGCGGGACACGUGGUAUCCUGUCUGAAUAUGGGGGGACCAUCCUCCAAGGCUAAAUACUCCUGACUGACCGAUAGUGAACCAGUACCGUGAGGGAAAGGCGAAAAGAACCCCGGCGAGGGGAGUGAAAAAGAACCUGAAACCGUGUACGUACAAGCAGUGGGAGCACCUUCGGGUGUGACUGCGUACCUUUUGUAUAAUGGGUCAGCGACUUAUAUUCUGUAGCAAGGUUAACCGUAUAGGGGAGCCGCAGGGAAACCGAGUCUUAACUGGGCGUUAAGUUGCAGGGUAUAGACCCGAAACCCGGUGAUCUAGCCAUGGGCAGGUUGAAGGUUGGGUAACACUAACUGGAGGACCGAACCGACUAAUGUUGAAAAAUUAGCGGAUGACUUGUGGCUGGGGGUGAAAGGCCAAUCAAACCGGGAGAUAGCUGGUUCUCCCCGAAAGCUAUUUAGGUAGCGCCUCGUGAAUUCAUCUUCGGGGGUAGAGCACUGUUUCGGCUAGGGGGUCAUCCCGACUUACCAACCCGAUGCAAACUACGAAUACCGAAGAAUGUUAUCACGGGAGACACACGGCGGGUGCUAACGUCCGUCGUGAAGAGGGAAACAACCCAGACCGCCAGCUAAGGUCCCAAAGUCAUGGUUAAGUGGGAAACGAUGUGGGAAGGCACAGACAGCCAGGAUGUUGGCUUAGAAGCAGCCAUCAUUUAAAGAAAGCGUAAUAGCUCACUGGUCGAGUCGGCCUGCGCGGAAGAUGUAACGGGGCUAAACCAUGCACCGAAGCUGCGGCAGCGACACUAUGUGUUGUUGGGUAGGGGAGCGUUCUGUAAGCCUGCGAAGGUGUGCUGUGAGGCAUGCUGGAGGUAUCAGAAGUGCGAAUGCUGACAUAAGUAACGAUAAAGCGGGUGAAAAGCCCGCUCGCCGGAAGACCAAGGGUUCCUGUCCAACGUUAAUCGGGGCAGGGUGAGUCGACCCCUAAGGCGAGGCCGAAAGGCGUAGUCGAUGGGAAACAGGUUAAUAUUCCUGUACUUGGUGUUACUGCGAAGGGGGGACGGAGAAGGCUAUGUUAGCCGGGCGACGGUUGUCCCGGUUUAAGCAUGUAGGCUGGUUAUCCAGGCAAAUCCGGAUAAUCAAGGCUGAGGUGUGAUGACGAGGCACUACGGUGCUGAAGUAACAAAUGCCCUGCUUCCAGGAAAAGCCUCUAAGCAUCAGGUAACAUCAAAUCGUACCCCAAACCGACACAGGUGGUCAGGUAGAGAAUACCAAGGCGCUUGAGAGAACUCGGGUGAAGGAACUAGGCAAAAUGGUGCCGUAACUUCGGGAGAAGGCACGCUGGUGUGUAGGUGAAGCCCCUGCGGGUGGAGCUGAGACCAGUCGAAGAUACCAGCUGGCUGCAACUGUUUAUUAAAAACACAGCACUGUGCAAACACGAAAGUGGACGUAUACGGUGUGACGCCUGCCCGGUGCCGGAAGGUUAAUUGAUGGGGUUAUCCGUAAGGAGAAGCUCUUGAUCGAAGCCCCGGUAAACGGCGGCCGUAACUAUAACGGUCCUAAGGUAGCGAAAUUCCUUGUCGGGUAAGUUCCGACCUGCACGAAUGGCGUAAUGAUGGCCAGGCUGUCUCCACCCGAGACUCAGUGAAAUUGAACUCGCUGUGAAGAUGCAGUGUACCCGCGGCAAGACGGAAAGACCCCGUGAACCUUUACUAUAGCUUGACACUGAACAUUGAGCCUUGAUGUGUAGGAUAGGUGGGAGGCUUUGAAGCGUGGACGCCAGUCUGCGUGGAGCCAACCUUGAA
This 2177-nucleotide ribosomal RNA is filed under the name Klebsiella pneumoniae. RNAcentral's name for it is "bacterial LSU rRNA". It matches the Rfam family "Bacterial large subunit ribosomal RNA", at positions 1 to 2196 of the family's 2925-position model. Lineage: Bacteria; Pseudomonadati; Pseudomonadota; Gammaproteobacteria; Enterobacterales; Enterobacteriaceae. The record is from RNAcentral.